Molecule: non-coding RNA, 47 nt
Organism: Aedes aegypti (yellow fever mosquito)
Lineage: Eukaryota; Metazoa; Arthropoda; Insecta; Diptera; Culicidae
Source: Rfam
AAAACGGCCCUUUUCAGAGCCACAACAAGGAACCCACGUAAAAGAGU